GUCCAGUGAAAGUCUGGGAAGGUCCUUAAGCCUUAUUGAAGAACGCAUCGCUUCUCUCGAAUCUCUUUCAUCGUAUGAGAAACGUGGAUGAUCUCUUGGUGCAUGCUUUAGAUCAUCUUUUGAAUUGCGAGUUUUUACAGAUAAACUACGGGCUUCCCUGUGCAUCGAGUCCUUGACAACAUCCCGGAAGUCAGGAGAUUGCCGUCCAGAAUGAGAUGGAGAACUUGGUUGCUUGUAUGACAGGGUUUUAGAAGGAGAUUCUGGUAGAGACAGAAAAACGUAGUCAGAGUAAACUUAGCACAAAUGUGGUGCUUCGAGAUUGAGAAUAAUAUGCAGCUGCAGAGUAGCAGAAAUCUCCAGACCCAAGAACAGAUGUUUUAUUCAUACAGCAAAAUGGUAAGAAUGUUUCUUGCCUAAGAAAGGUUAUGUUCUGUGAACAGAGAGAAAGAGAGUUUUUAUGUGUGUGAAAUGUGGAAAUAUUAGCAAUGAAUGUGGCAUAUGCAUUAUAUAUAUAUAAAAAAACUGGUUUAGAAUGA
Solanum pennellii is the source of this 536-nucleotide long non-coding RNA. RefSeq lists it as uncharacterized. The transcript has 3 exons. NCBI's taxonomy places the organism in Eukaryota, Viridiplantae, Streptophyta, Magnoliopsida, Solanales, Solanaceae. The record is from RefSeq and is a predicted model, not a curated record.